This 591-nucleotide long non-coding RNA is filed under the name Oryctolagus cuniculus (rabbit). Its description in RNAcentral is "lncRNA (ENSOCUG00000033105.1)". The record is from RNAcentral. Lineage: Eukaryota; Metazoa; Chordata; Mammalia; Lagomorpha; Leporidae.
CAAGAAAUUAUACAAUAUUUUAAGUAAGCUAUGUGGACCUUGGGAACUUAGGGAUUCAAGAACUCUCCUGAAGUGAGAUGAUUAACCACAUGCCUGUCACAUUGUAUUUCAAUAAAUAUUUUUGAGUCCUCUUGGUUCAGUCCUCUUAUAGAAUGAGUAGUUUUCUCCUUCUGGGUGGGUUAGUCCUCUAGGAGAAGAAGUUAUUUUUAGCUUCCUAAGGCAAGCCUCAAGUUGACAAUCUUAUGUUUGUCUCCUCUAGGGCUCUCACUUUUCCCUUUUGGGCCUGCGCACAAUAUCCUCCUAAUCCAAAUGCCCCUUAACUCACACAGCUGAUAAUGAUGAUAAUUGCAAAGGCCUACUAUGGGUUGUUGACUGUGCUAGCCCUUGGGAAGUAGAUGUGCUACUAAAAUCCUUGAAAGCAACAGCAGCAGAAAUUGCAAAGAUGAAAAUUCCAAACUCUGGGACUAUGAUUUCUGGGUUGCUUUUAGCACUGCUCCCUUCCAGCUAUUCGAUUUUGGUAAGUUAACUAAUCUCGCUGACCCCCAGCUUCUUAUAAAUAAAAUGAUGUUCACAAUGGUAACUGCCCUUUAG